This is a long non-coding RNA of Drosophila subobscura, 3165 nucleotides long. RefSeq lists it as uncharacterized. The transcript is spliced from 14 exons. NCBI's taxonomy places the organism in Eukaryota, Metazoa, Arthropoda, Insecta, Diptera, Drosophilidae. The record is from RefSeq and is a predicted model, not a curated record.
CUUUACUUUCGAGAGUUACAUACAUUCUCCAAUUGAUUGCACUACGCACAAUACCUCAUACCGCCACUGUACCAGCAAGUCGCCUACAAUAGCGUUCUUUUCAUUAGGAGAGUGCAAAGCAGAAGGCACACUCUCACUUUGUUCUAGUAAGAUAGGGAGACGAAGACAAGCAGAAACCGUACAUCACCGUUUUCAAUAGAAGAGGGGGGACGGCUACAGCAGCCAAAACUUCUUUGCAAGUGUCGAGAGAGACGAAAACGAGCAGAAACCUUCGUUAUAUUUGGAGAGCGCAAAGAAGAACGCCAAAAACCUUCGUUGCAUUUGGAGAGAGAAACGACUACGUGCAGAAACGAACGCGCCAAUUUACAGCAAGAGCGAGCAAUUAUGAAGCAAAGAGGAGGAGAAGGAGAGCGAGAAAUGGGAGAUCAUUUCGCUGCCCUACGCAUCUGUACCAGCAGCGGUCAAUUUUCAAUGUCAGUCACACAUCAGUCAGCGCAGCAGAGGUUAAUUUUAGUAAAAGUGCGAAAAAAGUGAAAAUUGUGCAGUGAAGUGAGUGUAGUGAUGUGCAGUGUAAGGAUGUGCAGUGUACUGAUGUGCAGUGAUGUGAUUAAAAAAUUAAAAAAUUAUAAAUUUAUAGUGAAAAGUAAAAAAGCUGCUAGUGCGGGUGCGGACCAUGUGCCGAAUAUGCAAAAGUGUGUGUGCCAACAGAUCAAUGCAAAUGUGUGAGAUAAUUAAUACAUAUAUGUAUUAAUAAAGAGCAUAUUCAAUUUUUUUCUUGUGCAAGCGCAGCUGAAAUCCACCGGCACAUGGAUCCGUUAUGUCUGAAAUUGCCAAAAAUGUGUGUGUGUAGUGAAGUGUGGUGUAGUGCAGUGUAGUGAUAAAACAAUAAAAAGUAUCCCAACAGCCAGGCGUAAAAGUGUUUUAUAGUGAAAAGUGUAAAAGCUGCUAGUGCGGGUGCGGACCAUGUGCCGAAUAUGCAAAAGUGUGUGUGCCAACAGAUCAAUGAAAGUGUGUGUUAAAUCAAAUAUAUCAAUAAUGAGCAUAUUCAAUUUUUUUCUUGUGCAAAGCGCAGCUAAAAUUUAGCGGCACAUGGUUCCGUUCUAUCUGUAGAUGUCUCAGAUGUGUUCGUUUAUCAUAUUUGCGGUGUGAGAGUGUGUGAGUGAUAGAACGCAAAAGCAGUAGCAAAACGCGCUCUCCAAGCCCAAAGAGCGGAGCAGAGGAGGAGAGGAGCAAGCAAUGCUCUCGUUCUCAAAGUCUCGACAAUGUGAGGUGAUGCUUUCCAAUUGCCCGAAGAUGUUACGCUCUCCUGGUUGCUUUGUGCACAACUCCUUCAGCAAAAGAUGCGUGUGUCGUGGGAGUGCGCCCUGUGAUGCUUCCACCUUAUAAUUAUUCAUCCCAAAAUUGUGCUCUUGUUGGAAAUGGCACUAGGCAAAUGUUCUGCUGGAAGACAAAUAAACGGUACAAAUUCGCAAGGGCAUAAGUCACGACAAUGUGAGGUGACGCUAUACGAUUGUCCGAAGAUGUUACGCUCUCUCGUUUGCUGUGUGCACACCACUUCAACAGAAGAUGCGUUUGUCGUGGGAGUGCGCCCUGUGAUGCCUCACCUUAUAAUUAUCCAUCCCAAACUUGUGCUCUUAUUGUAAAUGGCACUAGGCAAAUGUUCUGCUGGAUGAAAAAUGAACGGUACAAGUUCGCAAGGGCAUAAGUCACGUCAAUGUGAGGUGAUGCUAUACGAUUGCCCAAAGAUGUUACGCUCUCUCGUUUGCUGUGUGCACACCACUUCAACAGAAGAUGCGUGUGUCGUGGGAGUGCGCCCUGUGAUGCCUCACCUUAUAAUUAUCCAUCACAAACUUGUGCUCUUAUUGUAAAUGGCACUAGGCAAAUGUUCUGCUGGAUGAAAAAUGAACGGUACAAGUUCGCAAGGGCAUAAGUCACGACAAUGUGAGGUGACGCUAUACGAUUGCCCGAAGAUGUUACGCUCUCUCGUUUGCUGUGUGUACACCACUUCAACAGAAGAUGCGUGUGUCGUGGGAGUGCGCCCUGUGAUGCCUCACCUUAUAAUUAUCCAUCCCAAACUUGUGCUCUUAUUGUAAAUGGCACUAGGCAAAUGUUCUGCUGGAUGAAAAAUGAACGGUACAAGUUCGCUGGGGAAUAAGAAAAAUGUUUACGCAAUUGAUGGCCAAGAAGUUUAUGCUGGAAAAUGCAAGUUUUGCUUAAGCGGAAAAAUGUUUACAGAAAUCCAAAAGAAUAUUCUGCAGUCUUCAGUUAACCGGACUUCCAUCAAAAUAUACAACUUAAAAAAGAGACCUUUGACCAUGGGACAUACAAAAAGUAAAUUAAAUUUAUCGGGAAAAUCCAGCCAGCGAAGUGGAAAACCAAGUAUAAUGAAUGGAUUUUGGUGCUACAGAAUUAAGAGCUUGCUGGGCUGGAACUGGCUGGACUGUUUAGAGGCCUACGAAUGCGCUAUAGCUGAGUGGGCCUAAAGGGUGCCACGGGAAGAAAGAAAACCAGAUGGAGCAGAGUAGGAGGAGUUGCCUGAUUGAAGUUCAGCCAAAACAGAUGGAAGUCGUUCCAAAAACUAAGGCUAUUUAGCAGAGAAUCAAUGCGGAUUAAAAGACCGUUUGCCACUUCUGCAAAUGCCACAAAAUCAGGAUCGGAACGAGGAGAUGGUCCAGGAUGCAUUUAGCUGCACCGUUGAGCGGCACUUCGAGGACGCUCAGUAUCUGAAAAUUAGCUGCCGUGUGCAGCAGCCGAGCCUUGUGUCCACUGACUACAGACGUAAAUUAAUUUUCAUGGUACCGACUGUCCCGAAACAUCUGCGGCGUCAAUGGAACCUCAAAGUGCCCUUCGAUGCGAUAGUCUGACCCAAAGAGCUGACAGCAAAAUCACGCAAAUAAAUUCAACAAAUUUAUAUAAAAUAAAUCCAUAGAAACAAAUAGGGAAGCAUUGGCUUAGUACUCAAUUCUUUCAAGUUCUUUACCCAAAAUGUCUCAAAAUACACGUACUUCAGCGGUGUGGAUGGCUAUAAUGGCCGCCUGCAUAACUAGUCUCCUGAUACAGUUUCAAUUUCAUUGCCAGCCACCUUAUAGAAGCCGCUGUCUGGCCCAUAAAUUGGAAGACAAAUUUCGAGAGUACCAGCAGCGAGUGUAUCGUGAUGCGAAAAAU